CGAGGGAAAGGUGAAAAGCAACCAUGCAGAAUGGGUUGAAACAGCAGUGAAAGCGCUACCGGGAUAAGGGCUGGGGAUUGCUUGUGUCGCUUGCGCGUGCUUCAGUGCUGUGCUCGCGGACGGCAUGCAUCGAUUAGGAUGGGGAGAACAGGGCCAUCGGGAAUUCGGCUGGAUCCGUCCAGUGUUGUAGCCCGGAGGUCAAUGGAGCCUCUUCUGACCGUUGAGUGUCUUGCGAUUGUCAGCCGCCCGUCUUGAAACACGGACCAAGGAGUGCACCUUGCAUGCGAGUCGAAGGGACUGUAAUCCCAAAGGCGAAGCGAAAGCGAAGGCUGCGAACCCUCACGGCGUCGGCAGCACCCGCCUUGUGCGAGGUAGAGCAUGUAGGGUGCGACCCGAAAGAUGGUGAACUAUGCCCGGGUAAGGUGAAGCCAGUGGAAACGCUGGUGGAGGCCUGUAGCGGUUCUGACGUGCAGAUCGAUCGUGUAACCUGGGUAUAGGGGCGAAAGACCUAUCGAACCGUCUAAUGGCUGGUUCCCCCCGAAGUUUCCCUCAGGAUAGCUGUGUCCCUAUUGUCAGUUGCACGCGGUAAAGCGAAUGAUUAGGUGUCUCGGGGACGUUAUUGUCCUCGGCUCAUUCUCAAACUGUGAAUUGUGUGCGCACCGCGCGUGACCUAACGGCACGCCGGGCGAAUGACAGGACGCAAGUGGGCUGGUUUUGGUAAGCAG
RNAcentral lists this ribosomal RNA (725 nucleotides) under uncultured Tulasnella mycobiont of Riccardia latifrons. RNAcentral's name for it is "eukaryotic LSU rRNA". It matches the Rfam family "Eukaryotic large subunit ribosomal RNA", at positions 354 to 1147 of the family's 3401-position model. The record is from RNAcentral. Lineage: Eukaryota; Fungi; Basidiomycota; Agaricomycetes; Cantharellales; Tulasnellaceae.